CGGGGUAAAUUUCAGCUGUAAUGU
This 24-nucleotide ribosomal RNA is filed under the name Yersinia pestis PY-10. The record is from RNAcentral. Lineage: Bacteria; Pseudomonadati; Pseudomonadota; Gammaproteobacteria; Enterobacterales; Yersiniaceae.